CCUACGGGAGGCAGCAGUGAGGAAUAUUGGUCAAUGGACGAGAGUCUGAACCAGCCAAGUAGCGUGAAGGAUGACUGCCCUAUGGGUUGUAAACUUCUUUUAUAUGGGAAUAAACUGUUCCACGUGUGGGAUUUUGUAUGUACCAUAUGAAUAAGGAUCGGCUAACUCCGUGCCAGCAGCCGCGGUAAUACGGAGGAUCCGAGCGUUAUCCGGAUUUAUUGGGUUUAAAGGGAGCGUAGGUGGUGUGUUAAGUCAGUUGUGAAAGUUUGCGGCUCAACCUUAAAAUUGCAGUUGAAACUGGCAGUCUUGAGUACAGUAGAGGUGGGCGGAAUUCGUGGUGUAGCGGUGAAAUGCUUAGAUAUCACGAAGAACUCCGAUUGCGAAGGCAGUUCACUGGACUGCAACUGACACUGAGGCUCGAAAGUGUGGGUAUCAAACAGGAUUAGAUACCCGGGUAGUC
Molecule: ribosomal RNA, 460 nt
Filed under: uncultured bacterium
Lineage: Bacteria
Description: partial 16S ribosomal RNA
Rfam family: Bacterial small subunit ribosomal RNA
Source: RNAcentral